RNAcentral lists this microRNA (21 nucleotides) under Corchorus capsularis. RNAcentral's name for it is "sRNA CCACVL1_07118". The record is from RNAcentral. Lineage: Eukaryota; Viridiplantae; Streptophyta; Magnoliopsida; Malvales; Malvaceae.
GGAUAGCCAAAGGAGACUGCC